Molecule: ribosomal RNA, 253 nt
Filed under: uncultured bacterium
Lineage: Bacteria
Description: partial 16S ribosomal RNA
Rfam family: Bacterial small subunit ribosomal RNA
Source: RNAcentral
UACGUAGGGGGCAAGCGUUGUCCGGAAUUAUUGGGCGUAAAGCGCGUGUAGGCGGUCCGGUAAGUCGGCUGUGAAAGUCCAGGGCUCAACCCUGGGAUGCCGGUCGAUACUGCCGGACUAGAGUUCGGAAGAGGCGAGUGGAAUUCCCGGUGUAGCGGUGAAAUGCGUAGAGAUCGGAAAGAACACCAACGGCGAAAGCACUCUGCUGGGCCGACACUGACACUGAGAGACGAAAGCUAGGGGAGCGAAUGGG